AUGGCCAGUGCUCUGCUCCUCCUCACCAUCCUCACUCAGGGCACAGGGUCCUGGGCCCAGUCUGCCCUGACUCAGCCUCCCUGUGCAUUUGGGGCUCUGGGACAGUCAGUCACCAUCUCCUGCGCUGGAAGCAGCAAUGACAUUGAGUGUUAUAACCAUGUCUCCUGGUACCAACAUAGCUUGGACACAGUCCCCAAACUUCUGAUUUUUGCUAUCAGUUCUUGGCCCUCAGGGAUCCCUGCACACUUCUCUGCCUCCAAGUCUGGCAACAUGACUUCCCUGACCAUCUCUGGGCUCUAG
Non-coding RNA from Equus caballus (horse), 300 nucleotides. The record is from the annotation of a RefSeq genome assembly. Lineage: Eukaryota; Metazoa; Chordata; Mammalia; Perissodactyla; Equidae.